RNAcentral lists this long non-coding RNA (323 nucleotides) under Pogona vitticeps (central bearded dragon). RNAcentral describes it as "lncRNA (ENSPVIG00000003732.1)". Lineage: Eukaryota; Metazoa; Chordata; Lepidosauria; Squamata; Agamidae. The record is from RNAcentral.
UAUUUCUUGUCUGACAACAUUUCCUGAGAGAUUCACAAAUUGGCUUCAUGUGAGAGAUAAAAAUGAUGACGUCCAGACUACAGAGCAAUUGGAAAACUCAUCAAUGUCGCAAGAUCUGUCAACUCCUGGUGAAAAAAAGAGCACAUCUUUUAACUCUUGACUUGGAGUGCACCUUUUAAAGUGAAACCUUAUGAAGAAAGCUGGAUGAAUGAUGCCCGCCUCCACUCAUAAGCACGCAAGUGUGACGCAGCCUUCCUUCUGCACAUUAACUUCAAAAGCUCCUGACAAUCUGUGUUGGCAAGCCCAUUACAUCCGUUCCCUUC